This 315-nucleotide ribosomal RNA is filed under the name Humboldtiana sp. OM-2006. Its description in RNAcentral is "partial 16S ribosomal RNA". The record is from RNAcentral. Lineage: Eukaryota; Metazoa; Mollusca; Gastropoda; Stylommatophora; Humboldtianidae.
GUCGCUAUCUGUACUGUGCCCGCUUUUGGGACCGGGGUGACAAUACCUCUACAUUUAUACAAGACCAUGAACACCCUAGAAAUUUAUUGUACGGGGGGUAUAUUCACUACUAUUCUUGUGGGGUGACAGAAUAACAAAUAACUUAUUUUUAUAUAGCUAAGAUAUUUUAUAUAAUGGAAAACAAAAUUACUCUAGGGAUAACAGCAUAAUUAUUUAAUAGUUUGUGACCUCGAUGUUGGAUUAAGGAAGGUUGUACUCAUAAAGUACAACUAUUGGUUUGGUGCGAACCACAAAUUCUUACCUGAUCUGGAAUUC